UACGAAGGUCUCGAGCGUUGUUCGGAAUCACUGGGCGUAAAGGGAGCGUAGGCGGCGUGGUAAGUCAGAUGUGAAAUCCCGGGGCUCAACCCCGGAACUGCAUCCGAUACUGCCGUGCUAGAGUAAUGGAGGGGUAGCUGGAAUUCUCGGUGUAGCAGUGAAAUGCGUGGAGAUCGAGAGGGACACUCGUGGCGAAAGCGAGCUACUGGACAUUCACUGACGCUGAGGCUCGAAGGCCAGGGUAGCGAAAGGG
This 253-nucleotide ribosomal RNA is filed under the name uncultured bacterium. RNAcentral describes it as "partial 16S ribosomal RNA". It matches the Rfam family "Bacterial small subunit ribosomal RNA", at positions 524 to 776 of the family's 1533-position model. The record is from RNAcentral.